RNAcentral lists this transfer RNA (85 nucleotides) under Dothidotthia symphoricarpi CBS 119687. It matches the Rfam family "tRNA". From Rfam's summary of the family: Transfer RNA (tRNA) molecules are approximately 80 nucleotides in length. Their secondary structure includes four short double-helical elements and three loops (D, anti-codon, and T loops). The record is from Rfam by way of RNAcentral. Lineage: Eukaryota; Fungi; Ascomycota; Dothideomycetes; Pleosporales; Dothidotthiaceae.
UCUCGAGUCGUAUAGUGGUUAGUAUUUCUGCUUGUCAUCCAAGGACAACUCGCAGGAGACCAGGGUUCAAUUCCCUGCUCGAGAG